This 255-nucleotide unclassified non-coding RNA is filed under the name uncultured fungus. RNAcentral's name for it is "partial contains small subunit ribosomal RNA, internal transcribed spacer 1, and 5.8S ribosomal RNA". The stretch from base 1 to 73 matches the Rfam family "Eukaryotic small subunit ribosomal RNA", at positions 1759 to 1831 of the family's 1831-position model. The record is from RNAcentral. Lineage: Eukaryota; Fungi.
ACAAACUUGGUCAUUUAGAGGAAGUAAAAGUCGUAACAAGGUUUCCGUAGGUGAACCUGCGGAAGGAUCAUUACUGUUAUUCAUCAUAAACACCCAGAGUUCAGACUUUUGUUUGAACUCUUUGUGUGUUUGCAAACAAAAACACCCUCGAAAACAGCUUUUUAGUGUCUGACAGUUAACUAGGUUAACUAGUUUAAUACAAAAACAACUUUCAACAACGGAUCUCUUGGCUCUUGCAUCGAUGAAGAACGCAGC